UGAAUAGUCAGUAUUCAUUGUAAAUGACACAUUUCUGCACAGGAAAUACACUGUAAAUUCAAUGGUACCUAUGCAAAUUUUCCUUCUAAAUCUUAGUGGCUUAAGCAGAGUGCAAUUAGUUUGCUGGCUUCAAACAUAGAUCAGUUGAGCGCAACCAACAGGAUUAUGAGGAAACACCAGGCAGAAACAUUGGCCAGGGUAGAGUUGGACUUUAGGAUGAAGUGGGGAAAGAUUGAGGGUUUUUUCAUAUGGGAGAUGUUGCUGCAUCCCUGCUGCAAUGGAGCCUUUAUUGCUUGCAAGAGCUGACAAGUUUUGCUACACUGACUGCUUCUAAAUACUAUGAAGUGCUUGUGAAUCUCAAGGCAUGCUUCUUACGUACGGGAUUUCCCCUGCUUAUGUUCUGCUGCAGUUUGUGUUGCUAAAAAUCAUAGAGAUGUCUCCAUUUGUAAGUCCAGGACGGAUUUCUAACUGGCCGUGGUUCAAAAUUCCUUCUUUAAGAGCAAGUUUCAACUUCAGCCCAUUGUUAUGAUGCAGUCUUCACAGAGCUGAGUCUGGCAACCUGAGCACAUUUUGCAGCUGAAGCACGCUUGUAGUCUGGGCACGUUAAACUCUGAUAUCCCCAAAUACCUCCUCCUUUCAUUCUGCUGGGUGUCUUCAUUUUCCCUAGGCCAUCUUGCCUGGCCUCAGGGCACCUGGGGGCAUAAUCCUAACUCUAGAUCCACAGCAACAGAGGAGCUGUCCCUGCAGUUUCCGUCGCUGAUCAUGGCACUAACACCCAGGGUGAUUUUUAGCCCUGGAGCGCGUGAUGAGAUGAACUGCAGUGAGAGUGACCAUGUCCCAGAGGUGCCACAGCCACACAGUGCCAGUCCUGGUGGUCAGAGAUGUACGCUGCGAUGGUUCUGCUGCUCCUCCCUCUGCUCUGAGCUCGUCGGGCCAAGAGCCAGGCCAAGCCCAAGGAAGCUGUACCAGUGGGAACAUCCAGAACCCAACGUGACCGCAGUCUGCAGAGAUGCUGCAGAGGAAGGAGGAUGCACAUGCGAGCAAAGGGAUUUCUUGCCUCCAUAACCAGCAAGAGAAUGUCAGCUUGUGCCAAUUCGAGCUAGAGACCAACGGACACAUGAGACCUGCACCAUUUCUUGUGGGAACACACAGCUGACUCCUUCCUGCCAUCUAGGAGUGGACAUGUCCUGCUUCUGAACAAAGGUUCUCGACAAAGGUGGAGACUGAGUGCCUUGCAUGUCACCUACCCUACCGGGCUGGGCUGGCCAGCAUGGCAGCAAAUUGCAUUUCUGCUCCAAGAGACGUAGAAGAUGAUUGCCAGGGAGACCUGCUCUCCACAGCCCUACAGCAAUUCCUCUGGAGGCCUCCUCUCCAAUCGGGGGAUCGUUUCAUAAGGGAUCGAUGGUGAUUGCCAAAACCUCUCUGCCCUGAAGCCAGCAAGGAUUCUCUCCUUUACUUGUCUGGACUCCUGUGAGAUGAUAGAGAACCCACGUGAAUAGCCCUUGGGACCUUCUGCCCAGCCCAGCAUCAGAAGACAGACUUAAAGAGAGAUGGGAACGGAGGUGAUGCACCUGGUGGGCUGCAGUGGUCCAGAAGAGGUAGUGUGUUGGAGCCAAACACCUGCAUGCUAGAAGAGCAGUGUGUUGUCAUUGCCUGGGAGAUGAAUACAGCAGGACAUAGCACCAUGGCCACUGAAGGGGAAUGCAGUGUAGCACUGUUGGACAGGCCUAAUCAGUCCUCCAGGUGCAAGCACUCAAGCCCCUGACAAGAUCCCCAGACUGGCUGCCCUGAGCUGCCACUCAGGGGCUCAAGCAGAUGAAAGCACUGUGCUUGGAGAGCAGGUGGAGCUUGCCUGGGCCAAGGUUGAGGAUAAAUCUCCAUAGAGCAUAAGAGAUGUGAGGAGUGUAGUGAGGAGGAGCAUAGUCAAGACAGUUGCAGGAAGACUCCAGGACAUAUCAGGGCCCUUUUUGCACACUCUUCUCCGGAGAGGUAAGUUGUUUUUGUACGCCCUCAUCUACCUCUAUUGCUUUGUUUUGGGGCCUCACUGGUUUCUAAGGUUGUUAAGCGUGG
This 2070-nucleotide long non-coding RNA is filed under the name Gallus gallus (chicken). RNAcentral describes it as "long non-coding RNA NONGGAT005248". The record is from RNAcentral. Lineage: Eukaryota; Metazoa; Chordata; Aves; Galliformes; Phasianidae.